AACGUAUGUGGCGAGCGUUGUUCGGAUUCACUGGUUGUAAAGGGCGUGUAGGCGGCAUUGUGUGUCAAAUGUGAAAUUCUACGGCUCAACCGUAGAAAGUCAUUUGAUACUACAAUGCUUGAGUGUAGCCGAGGAAAGCGGAAUUCCCGUUGUAGGGGUGAAAUCUGUAGAUAUCGGGAGGAACACCGAUGGCGAAGGCAGCUUUCUAGGCUACAACUGACGCUGAGGCGCGAAAGCGUGGGGAGCAAACGGG
Molecule: ribosomal RNA, 253 nt
Filed under: uncultured bacterium
Lineage: Bacteria
Description: partial 16S ribosomal RNA
Rfam family: Bacterial small subunit ribosomal RNA
Source: RNAcentral